UACAGCUAUAUCAAGUCGAAACACCGGUUCUCGUCAGAUCAGCGGAGUUAAGCAACGUCGAGCCUGGUCAGUAUCUAGAUAGAUGACCGCCUGGGAUACCAGAUACUGUAAG
This is a non-coding RNA of Acanthosepion pharaonis, 112 nucleotides long. The record is from the annotation of a GenBank genome assembly. Lineage: Eukaryota; Metazoa; Mollusca; Cephalopoda; Sepiida; Sepiidae.